RNAcentral lists this ribosomal RNA (433 nucleotides) under uncultured bacterium. Its description in RNAcentral is "partial 16S ribosomal RNA". It matches the Rfam family "Bacterial small subunit ribosomal RNA", at positions 29 to 507 of the family's 1533-position model. The record is from RNAcentral.
AACGAACGCUGGCGGCAUGCCUAACACAUGCAAGUCGAACGAGACCUUCGGGUCUAUUGGCGCACGGGUGCGUAACGCGUGGGAACCUGCCCUUAGGUUCGGAAUAACUCCCCGAAAGGGGUGCUAAUACCGGAUAAUUUCUUCGGACCAAAGAUUUAUCGCCUUUGGAUGGGCCCGCGUUGGAUUAGCUAGUUGGUAGGGUAAAAGCCUACCAAGGCGACGAUCCAUAGCUGGUCUGAGAGGAUGAUCAGCCACACUGGGACUGAGACACGGCCCAGACUCCUACGGGAGGCAGCAGUGGGGAAUAUUGGACAGUGGGCGAAAGCAUGAUCCAGCAAUGCCGCGUGAGUGAUGAAGGCCUUAGGGUUGUAAAGCUCUUUUACCCGGGAUGAUAAUGACAGUACCGGGAGAAUAAGCUCCGGCUAACUCCGUG